AGUCCCAACGUCUUUAAGAAACGUUGGCAAGAAACCUUCUGUGGAGAAGGGAUGCAUACACCAGGGAAGAUGGCUGAGAGAGAGGGACAGGAAGAGGACUAUUCUGGGGAGAGAUAACUGCUUCUUAGAGGCAAUACAUUCAGGGAAUUAUAAUAGUCUGACUAGAGGGAUGGGAAAUCACGAAGGGUCAGAGAGGAGUCUGAAAGAAAAAUGGCUGGGGAGCAGGAUGGGCACAGCCCUGAAGGGAAUUUAACCAGGAAGGGGCAAAGUCAUCGAGACAGCACGGCAGAGACAAACAAACCACUCAAAGACGCACAGUUGUCGUCUAAGUGAGUGUGGUGCUGGCCGCAGAAUUUGCUCGUUUUGCAGGCAUUCUUCUAACAGAUAGCCUCUGAGAGCACAGGUCACUCCCCAGGCUCUGUUCCGGGCACUGAAGAUGCAACAGGAAGCAGCGGGGAGAACGAGAAAAUCCUUGUAAGAUGCUGAGCAGCGAUUAGCAUUCAAGAGGAAAGCUGGUCAGGAACGUUGCUGAGGACACUAGACUCUCCAUCAGUGUUUAAUCGCUAUGGCAUCAUUGACUUUAAAAAGUCUGAAAAAACGUGCUGCCACUGGAGGGCAUGUUGAUGUCCAUGAUCCCUGCUGUACUGAAGGCUACGCUGACGUCUUUCCUCGGUGCAUGAUGCUGCCAGAGGCCAGGUUGAUGUCCAUGAUCAGAGACGCUACCGGAAACCAUAUUGAUAUCCACUUACGUGAGAAGCCAAGAAAGCAGAGAACCAAAGGUCCACACGCUCCUCUCCCCGGACGCAACUGGACCGGAAAGAGAAACCCCGAUGAGGAUAACAUGGGCAUUGGAGGAUAGAAGUCAGAACAGCUGUCAACGCCUGUAUGAGAUGCUCACAAGACUGGACCAUUAAUAUGCCAGCGUUUGGCACUCACAAAACUCAGGAGUCUCAUGAGCAACGCAAGGAGAGGCAUAUGAGGGCCUUCUCCCAGAAGAUGGAUAAACAGUUAACAACUGCUGGGAAGAAGGAACAAGACUCUUUUCUGGUGGGCCUCUGUGAAUGAUACGUCACCUAUGUCCCUGUCACUGAAACUCAUUGAUUCACCAAACUAUGGUGGAGUGGAAUGAGAGAUCUUACUUGGUACCUGUGGCACUGACCACACCCAAAUGGUAUGUAAGUGUGCGGGAUUUAGGUCUGGGGGGAAGUACAGGUUCUCACUCUCUGGGUUCCUGUCAGGUCUCGGAGGGCAGCUGAGAUUGGAUGCUUGGAGUGCUGACCCUGGGUUGUUGGUUUCUCAUGUAAGUAAUUUCUCCCUAGUAAAAUUAACCUGCUUCAUCCCAAUCCUGUAUAUCAUAGAUUUUACUACCACAGUGGAGUUGUUUCUUCCAUAUAUUAUGGCCCCAUCUGGCUGAGCAGAAGUAGAUUCCACAGGAAAAGUCAGAUAGCACCCCCACCUCUUCCUGGUUCUGCCCAGCAUAGGCCUUACUCCCAACUUUGUCUUCUGAAUGGAGAUUUGAUAAUUUAGUAACACUACUAAAUAGUCUGAAGAGUUCCUUAGUCCCAGACCCCAGAGAAGUCACCAACAGACCUUCCCAUAGCUCCUUCCACCCAUCGAUAAAUUGGAGCCUGAUGCUGUGUUCAGAACAGACUGAACACAUCAUGACUCUACUCAUCCAGAACAGUGGACACUGUGGUGGUGUUAAGCUCACUGCUCACAGACGCUGAGGUCAGCUGGAUGCUCCUGUCUACGGUGGGGAUUCUCCUACCAACAGUCUCCUCCUUCCUCUUUGGCCUCAGCAAAAUAAUGAAGCACUUGGCAAGAAAUAUGCAGCCUAACACGCCAUAGCUGGAUGCCAAAAUGGCAAAUAUUUCCACGGCCACUUUGAACUUGCCUUUGGUGCUCAAGUAAACAGGGACAAAAGAGAUCCAGGUGAACAGGUAUAUAUAGCCACACCUGUCUUUUUGCUUGGGCACUGAAUCAUAAGUCUUCAGGUCUCAUGUUUUCAGGGUAAGUGCUCUUUAUCCACACAGCCAUCUUCCCAGACUCCCGUAUUUUUAUAAUAUUCAUUGAGGUGUGUUUUAGAAUUCAGAAGUGUAGUUUGUUUAUGCCUCAAUUGGAGGAGGUGUUCUUAUUUCAAGGAUGGGUAGGAUGCCUUUUCCAGGUCAGGCUUGGUGAUACAUUACUUGCAAUCCCAGAACGUGGAAGGCUAAUUCUGGGUGAUGGUGAGUUUGAAGCAGCCUGGGCUAUUAAUAGAGUGAGCUCCCAACUCAAAAACCAAUAGAAAAACAGUCAAAGGUAAGCCUGUGAAAUCUUCAAUCACUGAUAAGAGUGUACUGCCGUUGUAUUAGGAAAUGCUUAUGAAGUCUGGGUUCAACCACCAUGAGGGCCUGUGUAGGAAGGCUGUGAACGGCACACGGGGCAGAGUGAAGGAUGUUCUUCCCACAAAGCAUCCUAGAAAGAACUGUGUAAACUGUGAUGAGUGGAUGCACUCGAAUUCAAGGUUGUGGAGAGAAUGCCCUGCCGUGUUCACACCCAUGACAAGGGCAAAGGCCCGGGAGGAGGAGCCUUGGCUCUUUCACAUGGUUCAAGAUGAUGAGAUGUAACAUGACCAGUACUUCCUUGCUGUGCUUGCAUUUGCUCAAGCUGACAGUAAAUAAUCACCUAACGUGCUGUUUUCUUCUGUAUAAAAAGUGAGAAGCGCUCUUUAGGCAUUGCUCUUGAGUUCCCCAACCUAAUCGCCCAACUCAGAUCUUUGUCAUUUCCCUAUAUCUUCGAAGACAGCCUCGCUGACUUGUGUGGGUCAGCAAACUGCACUCGAAGCAACUCUAAAUAUACAAAUACAUCAAUUCCGGUAGAGAGGAAAAAUGUGAGCAUGACUGUACUUCGUUGAAAGAGUAUUAAAAUAGAAAUUUGCUGAAUUUUACUUUUUUAUCAUUUUAAUAGAAGGAGUUUCCUGCAAACAUUGGGCAAACAGCAACAUUUUCUUUAUUCUCCCCCCUCUAUAAAACAUGAGUGUCUACACUAUACUUAGCCUAAGGAAUGCAAAAAGAAAAGUGUCAAGAUUCAUCCAUGAAGUAGUUCAUCUCACAGGGAGUAGGCUCGGAGUCACAGACGGUGUUACAUAAUU
This is a long non-coding RNA of Mesocricetus auratus (golden hamster), 3130 nucleotides long. RefSeq lists it as uncharacterized. NCBI's taxonomy places the organism in Eukaryota, Metazoa, Chordata, Mammalia, Rodentia, Cricetidae. The transcript has 3 exons. The record is from RefSeq and is a predicted model, not a curated record.